CCUAACACAUGCAAGUCGAACGGUAACAGGAAGAAGCUUGCUUCUUUGCUGACGAGUGGCGGACGGGUGAGUAAUGUCUGGGAAACUGCCUGAUGGAGGGGGAUGACUACUGGAAACGGUAGCUAAUACCGCAUAACGUCGCAAAACCAAAGAGGGGGACCUUCGGGCCUCUUGCCAUCGGAUGUGCCCAGAUGGGAUUAGCUAGUAGGUGGGGUAACGGCUCACCUAGGCGACGAUCCCUAGCUGGUCUGAGAGGAUGACCAGCCACACUGGAACUGAGACACGGUCCAGACUCCUACGGGAGGCAGCAGUGGGGAAUAUUGCACAAUGGGCGCAAGCCUGAUGCAGCCAUGCCGCGUGUAUGAAGAAGGCCUUCGGGUUG
RNAcentral lists this ribosomal RNA (382 nucleotides) under uncultured bacterium. Its description in RNAcentral is "bacterial SSU rRNA". It matches the Rfam family "Bacterial small subunit ribosomal RNA", at positions 47 to 425 of the family's 1533-position model. The record is from RNAcentral.